Molecule: ribosomal RNA, 292 nt
Filed under: uncultured bacterium
Lineage: Bacteria
Description: partial 16S ribosomal RNA
Rfam family: Bacterial small subunit ribosomal RNA
Source: RNAcentral
GUGUCAGCCGCCGCGGUAACACGGGGGGAGCAAGCGUUGUUCGGAAUCACUGGGCGUAAAGGGAGUCUAGGCUGUCAGGUAAGUGGGAUGUGAAAUGCCCCGGCUCACCCGGGGACCGGCAUCCCAAACUGCUUGGCUCGAGUAUGGGAGAGGAUGAGGGAAUUCCUGGUGUAGCGGUGAAAUGCGUAGAUAUCAGGAGGAACACCGGUGGCGAAAGCGCUCAUCUGGCCCAAUACUGACGCUGAAGCUCGAAAGCUAGGGGAGCAAACGGGAUUAGAAACCCCAGUAGUCC